Molecule: ribosomal RNA, 505 nt
Filed under: uncultured bacterium
Lineage: Bacteria
Description: partial 16S ribosomal RNA
Rfam family: Bacterial small subunit ribosomal RNA
Source: RNAcentral
GACGAACGCUGGCGGCGUGCCUAAUACAUGCAAGUAGAACGCACAGUUUAUACCGUAGCUUGCUACACCAUAGACUGUGAGUUGCGAACGGGUGAGUAACGCGUAGGUAACCUGCCUGGUAGCGGGGGAUAACUAUUGGAAACGAUAGCUAAUACCGCAUAAUAUUAAUUAUUGCAUGAUAAUUGAUUGAAAGAUGCAACUGCAUCACUACCAGAUGGACCUGCGUUGUAUUAGCUAGUAGGUGAGGUAACGGCUCACCUAGGCGACGAUACAUAGCCGACCUGAGAGGGGAAUCGGCCAAACUGGGACUGAGACACGGCCCAGACUCCUACGGGAGGCAGCAGUAGGGAAUCUUCGGCAAUGGACGAAAGUCUGACCGAGCAACGCCGCGUGAGUGAAGAAGGUUGUCGGAUCGUAAAGCUCUGUUGUAGGAGAAGAACGGGUGUGAGAGUGGAAAGUUCACACUGUGACGGUAUCUUACCAGAAAGGGACGGCUAACUACGUG